This 163-nucleotide small RNA is filed under the name Chromobacterium violaceum. RNAcentral describes it as "Manganese sequence". It matches the Rfam family "Manganese Mn2+ riboswitch aptamer (yybP-ykoY)". Rfam says of the family: This RNA was originally discovered in E. coli during a large scale screen and was named SraF. The family was later found to exist upstream of related families of protein genes in many bacteria, including the the yybP and ykoK genes in B. subtilis. The record is from RNAcentral. RNAcentral also lists the same sequence under 1 other name. Lineage: Bacteria; Pseudomonadati; Pseudomonadota; Betaproteobacteria; Neisseriales; Chromobacteriaceae.
CGCUCAGUCAUUGGGGAGUAGCCUUUCCCGGCCAGCCCGGGAAGUCCACGUCAACAAACUUGAGGCCUCACGCCUCAUGGCGUGGUCAGCUUGUAUUGCGCUUAACCGCAAGGCAAGUCAGGCAAGACCUUUGGCCGCGAUGCGUUUGCCAGCCGGGCAAGCC